GACGAGGUGGCCGAGUGGUUAAGGCGAUGGACAGCUAAUCCUUUGUGCUCUGCACGCGUGGGUUCGAAUCCCAUCGUCGUCG
RNAcentral lists this transfer RNA (82 nucleotides) under Paramuricea clavata. It matches the Rfam family "tRNA". From Rfam's summary of the family: Transfer RNA (tRNA) molecules are approximately 80 nucleotides in length. Their secondary structure includes four short double-helical elements and three loops (D, anti-codon, and T loops). The record is from Rfam by way of RNAcentral. Lineage: Eukaryota; Metazoa; Cnidaria; Anthozoa; Malacalcyonacea; Plexauridae.